Molecule: ribosomal RNA, 500 nt
Filed under: uncultured bacterium
Lineage: Bacteria
Description: partial 16S ribosomal RNA
Rfam family: Bacterial small subunit ribosomal RNA
Source: RNAcentral
AUUGAACGCUGGCGGCAUGCCUUACACAUGCAAGUCGAACGGCAGCACGGGAGCAAUCCUGGUGGCGAGUGGCGAACGGGUGAGUAAUAUAUCGGAAAGUGCCCAGUCGUGGGGGAUAACGCAGCGAAAGCUGUGCUAAUACCGCAUACGAUCUACGGAUGAAAGCGGAGCAUCGCAAGACCUCGCGCGAUUGGAGCGGACGAUAUCAGAUAAGCUAGUUGGUGGGGUAAAGGCCCACGAAGGCGACGAACUGGAGCUGGUCUGAGAGGACGACCAGCCACACUGGAACUGUGACACGGUCCAGACUCCUACGGGAGGCAGCAGUGGGGAAUUUUGGACAAUGGGCGCAAGCCUGAUCCAGCAAUGCCGCGUGCAGGAUGAAGGCCUUCGGGUUGUAAACUGCUUUUGUACGGAACGAAACGGCCCUUUCUAAUACAGGGGGCUAAUGACGGUACCGUAAGAAUAAGCACCGGCUAACUACGUGCCAGCAGCCGCCGUAA